Molecule: ribosomal RNA, 253 nt
Filed under: uncultured bacterium
Lineage: Bacteria
Description: partial 16S ribosomal RNA
Rfam family: Bacterial small subunit ribosomal RNA
Source: RNAcentral
UACGUAGGGUGCAGGCGUUAAUCGGAAUUACUGGGCGUAAAGCGCGCGCAGGCGGUUUUUUAAGUCAGAUGUGAAAGCCCCGGGCUUAACCUGGGAACUGCGUUUGAAACUGGGAGACUUGAGUGUGGCAGAGGGGGGUGGAAUUCCACGUGUAGCAGUGAAAUGCGUAGAUAUGUGGAGGAACACCGAUGGCGAAGGCAGCCCCCUGGGUUAACACUGACGCUCAUGCACGAAAGCGUGGGGAGCAAACAGG